GCUCUCUCGGUGUCUCAGGGAGAUAUAAUAUAUAAAUAUUAUACAUAUGUAUAUAUAUUAGGGCUGUCAAUCGAUUAAAAAAAAUUAACUAAUUAAUCGCACAUUUUGAAAUUGCGAUUAAUUAAUCGCGAUUAAUCGCGAUUAAUCUCGCUUAAAAGUGUUUUCCUUCUUUUUAAAGACAAAACUUCACACAAAGCUGUGUUUUCAAAGAGGCUCCUACAUAUACAGUGCCAGCGAGGUAUUUAAUAUCGUGGAUGAUAAAUUUUUUCUUCAGUGAAACAUCAGAUUAGUAAAAAAAAAAAAGUAUAUAGAGACCCCAUUGGUCCUGUCAUCUUUACCACUGAACAGCAGAACCAGUGGCCUUGGUAACUGACUGACAUUCACAUAUGUCACGUUCACCCUCUGGAGGCUGGGGGCAUUUUAUACAUUUUACAAAAUAAAUUAAAUUCACCGUUUAAAGUCUUUUGCAUGUGACACAUACCCACGUGUUCUACAUCAAAUAUUCCAGAACAAUCUCAGCUCUGAAAUUCAAUUCAAUUCAAUUCAGUUUAUUUGUAUAGCCCAAUUUCACAAAUUACAAAUUUGUCUCAGAGUGCUUUACAAUCUGUACACAUAGACAUCCCUGCCCCAAAACCUCACAUCGGAUCAGGAAAAACUCCCAAAUAACCCUUCAGGGGGGAAAAAAGGGAAGAAACAUUCAGGAGAGAACAGAGGAGGAUCCCUCUCCAGGAUGGACAGAUGCAAUAGAUGUAAUGUGUACAGAAGGAAAUGAGGCUCAUUGUCCUCACGCCGUGUUCUCUGGUUCUCUGACUGACAGGCUGCUAAAUGAGCCUAACCUGUGAGGUGGGAGGUCCUUUGUGAUUUACUGAGUGUUCAUUGGUUGUUCUUUUACCGAAAUGUUGACAGACAAACGGAUUGACCAAUCACGUUGAAGGUUUCGUGUGUCGCGUUCUUUCCGCGCCGCGUCACCCGACACGUCGCCCCUCCGUUCCUCUGUGUAUCAGAGGGGGAGACGGGAGGAAGGAGGAGCAGGAGGAAACCCGACUGAUUCAUCCACGAGUUAAACUGAUUUAUGAUCCUUAUUUUCGCGGAGAAAUAAUUGUUUUAAAAACGGAAACAGUGUCAAACCGUACUGCCGCGGUUUAAAAAACAACAACAACAACAACAACAAACAUUUGCGUGAAUUGCGUUCAAAUAUUUUAGUGCGUUAACGCGGCCAAAUUAAUCGCAUAGAUUAACGCGUUAACGCUGACAGCCCUAAUAUAUAUACAUAUAUAUAAAUAUGUAUAUGUAUGUAUAUAUACACAGGUAGCCUCACUCAACUGUGCUCUCUCGGUGUCUCAGGGAGAUAUAAUAUAUAAAUAUUAUACAUAUGUAUAUAUAUACAUAUAUAUAAAUAUGUAUAUGUAUGUAUAUAUACACAGGUAGCCUCACUCACCUGCACUCAAAAAACUGAUUCUUGGCCCUCAUAAACAUUAAACAAUAUUUUUAAGUAAAACGUAACUGAAAUAUAUAAAAUCUAAAGUGUAUUCAUUAAAACCACUUAAACACAAUGUAAAUAUGCUUCGUAUAACCUGAACAUAAACAAAUCAAGUAAACGUUACUUGAUUGGAUCACAGAAGGAGCAUCUGUGCGUGCAGGAAACACUUCACCACGUGACCUCUUGAGAGUGGACUUGUCAUUCUGACCGACAGAGCGACCGAGCGUGACAAAGUUAUUAGGUACACCAUUCAAGCCAAAUCCACAAAGCAUCUUUCAUCCUGUGGCAACCUCUCAUUUUAGGUGGAGGAUGUCAAAUACACAGCCAACAUAACUAAGGUCGUCAGCAACAGAGGAGGAGCUGCUGGAAGGAAGAUCCGACUCCUCAUGGCUCCAACAGCUAAGACAAGUGCAUUGACUGGUUACGUUUUUAAGCAAAGUCAAAUCUUGUGAUAAAAUCCAUUUUAACACUGGUUUUAACAGAGUUCCCGCAUCCUUGAAAACCUAGAAUUGUAUUUAUGCAGUCUGUACAAUUGCUCUGGAGUGGGGUUUAAGAAACCUUGACCUAAGAGUGGAAAUAUUCGAGAUUGUAAGUUCCUAGUUGGAAACAUGUUUUGCCCCGGGAUAAGUGUAAAGUCUCAAGGACUUUUGACUUCUAAUAGGUCAUACACAUCAGACAAGUGGGCAAUAUGUCUUCUCUUUCUCAAGGCUUGGGUCUUGAGGAGUAGUAGCAUUUAUUUACUGGCAAAUAAACUACACACUACACUGUUAUGUUCACUGCUAUAACUUUACUGCUGACUUCUCUCUGUUUUAACAUUUAAUAGCUAAACUGGAUAUAUAUUGCAGAUGUCCGUAAGUUAAUUAUUUUCUGGUCAAAAAGAACAUUUCAGAUAUCCACUGACAUUCUUCCUAGGAAGAAUUACCUCGCUUUUGCCAUUCAUGUGUUAUGGGCUUUUUAUUUUUAGAUAUCCAUAAUUGCAUUUUUUUUAAUAGUCUUACGAGGGGGAAAACUCACAUUUCACUCGUAUCGACGGGAAAACGGUAUUCGAAGCAACAUCGACCUUGGCUCAGGAGUACAUUGCGCACAGUCCAGUCUGACACUAGUGGCUUUGUUAGUCUGGUUAUAAACAAACAGAAUAUUAUUUUAAUCAUUUUGUCAUAGCUUAUUACUUAUGAAAUACAAGUUGGAUUUAGCGCUGUGAUGCUGACAAAGGCAAGUGUAGGAUACUUUUUAAUUUGCCAGAACAUGUCAUAAGGACAAAUGCCUUCUUUCAAGUGUCAUAGUAAUCCCUUGGGUGAGAAUAAAAGGGUUAUGAGCAAUGUCCUGAAAAAUAUCUUAAAGUGGAUACUCAAAAUUGUAUUGUGCCUUCUUUUGCAGAGUGAGGACAUUGACCUCAAGAGGGAGUGUGUCCUCUGUGUGUCUCCCUCAAUGAGGACAGCAACACUCUCAUCAAGGAGUACUUGAACGUCAACAGUGAGGAAGCUGAGCGAGAGAUCGUGCAGACCACCAUGGGCCUUUACAGGAUGAUCAGAGAAGGUGCUGAUAAAGAGGACGAGCCAAAGGACUUUGGAGUGGUGAUCGAAGGUGUGGAGCUGCUAUGCAAUCUGAGAGGCGUUGCCUUUGGACGUGCCAUGCUCUUUGGCCUAAUUUACACUCUCAACCUGAGCUAUCCCCGAGAACUCAAAUUCACUUGAGUUCAUCCAGAAAGUGUUGAUGAACUUGGAUGGAAAGAAGUUGUCCCCAAAGGUCCAAACACUUAAAAUCAAGAUGCUUCAAUGAGCUCACAUGGUCAGCACUGGAGAGUUGAGCUAGCCACAUUUUGGCAUGUUGGACAUUGAUAUAUUGACCUGGUAAGACUGUACAGAAGCUAGUGACUUCCUAGUUUGUGGUACUGAUGUCAAGUUCACUGGAAAAGCUGUUAUGUGUUCUAAUUGUUGCAUUACCCAGGUUUAUCAAUACUGGUAUCCAUUUUAUUAAUGAUUAAUCCAUUUUGUAUUUUAUUAUUCAUCAUAAUCACAACUCUAAUUUUAAAGUUGUUGAUGUCAUAAUGCAUGGCUAGACUGGAUAUAUUGUAUACCUGUUUAACACUUCAUGACUAAAAUGUUGUGUUCUAAUUGUUCCAUUACCCAGGUUUACCAAUACUGGUAUCAGUUUUAUUAAUAAUUAAUCCAUUUUGUAUUACUAUUCAUCAUAAUGAUCAUAAUCACAACUCUAAUUUUUAAGUUGUUGGUGUCAUAUUGUGACUGUUUGUAUACCUGUUUAACACUUUUUUGGUAUUCGUCAAUAAAGCCUUCUGAAUUGUC
Molecule: long non-coding RNA, 3783 nt
Organism: Pseudoliparis swirei
Lineage: Eukaryota; Metazoa; Chordata; Actinopteri; Perciformes; Liparidae
Exons: 4
Source: RefSeq, a predicted model, not a curated record